UACGUAGGGUGCGAGCGUUGUCCGGAAUUAUUGGGCGUAAAGAGCUCGUAGGCGGUCUGUCGCGUCGAUCGUGAAAACUUGGGGCUUAACCCUGAGCUUGCGGUCGAUACGGGCAUGACUGGAGUUCGGCAGGGGAGACUGGAAUUCCUGGUGUAGCGGUGAAAUGCGCAGAUAUCAGGAGGAACACCGGUGGCGAAGGCGGCAUCCUGGACCAACACUGACGCUGAGUGAGCGAAAGCCAGGGGAGCAAACGGG
Molecule: ribosomal RNA, 255 nt
Filed under: uncultured bacterium
Lineage: Bacteria
Description: partial 16S ribosomal RNA
Rfam family: Bacterial small subunit ribosomal RNA
Source: RNAcentral